This 1486-nucleotide long non-coding RNA is filed under the name Equus caballus (horse). Its description in RNAcentral is "lncRNA (ENSECAG00000053265.1)". Lineage: Eukaryota; Metazoa; Chordata; Mammalia; Perissodactyla; Equidae. The record is from RNAcentral.
AUACUUCAUGGGUAGUACAGGUACUUCAUGGAUAGAACAGGUACUUCAUGGGUAGAACAGGUACUGUGUAAUAGACUAUUCACAGUCCCUUUGUACGGUCCUUUAUAAUGUUGCUUUCACUCAUUUUGCUUUACCAUAUGCUGUAAUCACCCAAUUCACUGUUGCUAUUAUUACUUUGAACAAAGAGUUAUCAAUUAGAUCAAUUGAGAAUAAGAAAUGUAAAGGUUAUAUUUUACAUUAGCUUAUUCGUUUCCCAAUGCUCUUCCUUUCUUUAUGUGCAUCUAAGUUCCUGACCUGUAUAGUUUUUCUUCUUCCUGAGUAACUUCUUUUAACAUUUUUCUAAGACAAGUCUGCUGGCAAUAAGUUCUCUCAGUUUUUGUUUGUCAGAGAAAGUCUUUAUUUCUCCUUCAGUUUUACAGGAUGAUUUCACAAGAUACAGAAUUCUAAGUUGGUAUUUUUUCCUUUCAACGCUUUAAAUCUUUCACUCCACUCUCUUCUUGCUGUCUUGGAUUCUGAUGAGAAGGCCAAUGGAAUUCUUAUCCUUGUUUUUCUCCUCUGGCUUCUUUCAUGAUUUUCUCUUUGUCUUUGUUUUUCUGAAGUUUGACUAUGAUAUGUUUAAGUGUAGUUUUUAUGGUGUUUAUCCUGCUUCUUGUUCUCUGAAUUUCCUGCAUCUGUGGUUUGGCAUCUGUCAUUAAUUUUGGAAAAUUCUUGGCCAUAAUUGCUGCAAGUAUUUCUUCUGCUCUCUUCUCCCUUUCUUCUUCUGGUGUUCCAAGUAUGUGGAUAUUACACCUUUUGAAAUUGUCCCACAAUUCUUGGAUAUUCUAUUCUGGGAGUUUUUUGUUUUGUUUUUUCAUUAUUUUUUCUCUUUGCCUUUCAGUUUGGGAAGUUUCCGUAAGAUAUCUUCAAGCUCACUGAUUUUUCCCUUGAUUGUAUCCAGUCUGUUAAUGAGCCCAGUAGAGACGUUCUUCAUUUUUGUUACAGUGUGGGUUUUUUUAUUUCUAGCAUUCCUUUUUUAUUAUUUUGUGGUGUUUUCAUCUCUCUGCUUGCAUCACCUGUCCUUCCAUGUUAUCUGCUUUUUCCAUUAGAACCUUUAACAGUAGCCAUGGUUAUUUUAAAUUCUAAAAUCCGUGCCAUAUCUGAAUCUAGUUCUAAUGCUCGCUUUGCCUCUUCAGACUGUAUUUUUUCUCGCCUUUCAGCUUCGCAUACCUUGUGAAUUUUUUUUGAAAGCCAGACAUCGUGUGUCAGACAAGUCCCUCUUUGAAGAUAAUGGUCCACUGGUGACAUCUGAGGGAAUGAGCCAGAUAAUUCCAGUCAGAAGUCCUUGACCAACACAAUAGAAAACCGUAUCCCCUAUGUCAGUACGAUGCAGAAUAUUGCACUCACAGAACAGCACGCCUGUAUUACUCUGCGCUGGUGGCCAUCACAUGUACCGUGACUCUACAGCAAGAUGUAUCUAAGUAUUUCAUUAAACCUCCUUCCAUAGUAG